This 463-nucleotide ribosomal RNA is filed under the name uncultured bacterium. RNAcentral's name for it is "bacterial SSU rRNA". It matches the Rfam family "Bacterial small subunit ribosomal RNA", at positions 923 to 1379 of the family's 1533-position model. The record is from RNAcentral.
GCACAAGCGGUGGAGCAUGUGGCUUAAUUCGACGCAACGCGAAGAACCUUACCAAGGCUUGACAUACACCGGAAAGCAUUAGAGAUAGUGCCCCCCUUGUGGUCGGUGUACAGGUGGUGCAUGGCUGUCGUCAGCUCGUGUCGUGAGAUGUUGGGUUAAGUCCCGCAACGAGCGCAACCCUUGUUCUGUGUUGCCAGCAUGCCCUUCGGGGUGAUGGGGACUCACAGAAGACCGCCGGGGUCAACUCGGAGGAAGGUGGGGACGACGUCAAGUCAUCAUGCCCCUUAUGUCUUGGGCUGCACACGUGCUACAAUGGCCGGUACAAUGAGCUGCAAUACCGUGAGGUGGAGCGAAUCUCAAAAAGCCGGUCUCAGUUCGGAUUGGGGUCUGCAACUCGACCCCAUGAAGUCGGAGUCGCUAGUAAUCGCAGAUCAGCAUUGCUGCGGUGAAUACGUUCCCGGGC